UACGUAGGGGGCUAGCGUUGUCCGGAAUCAUUGGGCGUAAAGCGCGUGUAGGCGGCCCGGUAAGUCCGCUGUGAAAGUCGGGGGCUCAACCCUCGGAUGCCGGUGGAUACUGUCGGGCUCGAGUACGGAAGAGGCGAGUGGAAUUCCUGGUGUAGCGGUGAAAUGCGCAGAUAUCAGGAGGAACACCGAUUGCGAAGGCGGCUCUCUGGGACGGUACUGACGCUGAGACGCGAAAGCGUGGGGAGCGAACAGG
RNAcentral lists this ribosomal RNA (253 nucleotides) under uncultured bacterium. RNAcentral's name for it is "partial 16S ribosomal RNA". It matches the Rfam family "Bacterial small subunit ribosomal RNA", at positions 524 to 776 of the family's 1533-position model. The record is from RNAcentral.